Molecule: small nucleolar RNA, 91 nt
Filed under: Erinaceus europaeus (western European hedgehog)
Lineage: Eukaryota; Metazoa; Chordata; Mammalia; Eulipotyphla; Erinaceidae
Description: Small nucleolar RNA U3 (ENSEEUG00000023810.1)
Source: RNAcentral
AAGACUAUACUUUCAGGGAUCAUUUCUAUAGUUUGUAUAGACAGCUAUGGGUUCCAGAUUCCUAGCAUUCAACACACUGACUGAUAGUCUG